UACUAUAGUCUAUACUAUACUGGUGUUAAAUGAAGAUAAAAACUCUUACAGCCCCCACCUUCCUCUACUCUGCAGCUCUGCUUUUACAACAUCAUAUCCCCUCUCUAGUCUCUGCCUUCAUUUGCAUAAAUGCUCCUUCCUGCAAUGGGAAAGUUGUAAAAGUGAUUAUAAGAGAUAUGAAGCAUCUGAUAUUAACGUUCUGCCUUGCUCUUUUCAUCCAGCAACAGUCUUUUCUUGUUCAAGUUGAAGCUGGGAAUGGCUUCAUCACAACCAGAGGAGUUCAUUUUAUGUUGAAUGGCAGUCCUUAUUAUGCUAAUGGCUUCAAUGCCUACUGGUUGAUGUAUUUGGCUUCUGACCCAUCUCAGAGAUCUAAAGUUUCAGCUGCAUUCCGUGAAGCUUCUAGCCAUGGCCUUACUGUUGCAAGAACUUGGGCUUUUAGUGAUGGUGGAUACAGGCCCUUGCAGUUCUCUGCUGGAUCUUAUAAUGAGCAAACAUUUAAGGUGAUAUCUUUUUCAAACUAUGUUAUAUGUUUCACUUGCAUUUUUAUGUGUAUAUACUGUUUUGUUUUUUUUGGCUAACCUUAAUUCUGUUCAUGUUCUUGGUUCAAAGGGGUUGGAUUUUGUUGUGGCGGAGGCCAGAAGAUAUGGAAUUAAGCUUGUACUGAGCUUGGUAAAUAACUAUGAGAGCUUUGGGGGUAAAAAGCAGUAUGUGAAUUGGGCCAGAAAUCAAGGGCAGUACCUGACUUCUGAUGAUGAUUUCUUUAGAAAUCCUGUUGUUAAGGGAUAUUAUAAGAACCAUGUAAAGGUAAUUGGUGGAUUAAUUUCCUGUCUUUCACACCAUACCAUUUUCUUAUUGUUUCUUGAUUUGGAUUUUAUUUGAUAUUCAUUCAUGCUGGGAAUUUUCUAAACCUUUUCUUAAUUUUGUGGGAUGUGAGAAUUAUAAGCUAAACUUGUAUUUAUGAGUGGAGUUUCUCUUUAAUUUGCAGACUGUUCUUAACAGAUAUAACACAAUUACUGGAGUUGUUUACAAGAAUGACCCAACAAUCAUGGCCUGGGAGCUUAUGAAUGAGCCCAGAUGCACUUCAGAUCCAUCAGGCCGGACUAUUCAGGUUCUCUAUGACCUUCAGAUCUGACUUUUUUACACCAAGCUUGUUCCCCCCAAAAAACACAAUAUUUAGUCUAUGAUUCUGGUAUUGCCCAAGCCACAGUUUGUACCUACCGUAACUAGUUUUUGUAGACUACAAACUGAUUUAAGCUUCUUUAUUAGUGAAAACUUAUCUCUUACCAUAUGACAUGACAGGCCUGGAUAAUGGAAAUGGCUUCUCAUGUGAAGUCAAUAGACAGAAAUCACUUGCUGGAAGCUGGCUUAGAAGGAUUUUACGGACAAACAACACCUCAGAGGAAGUCACUCAAUCCUGGAUUUGAUAUAGGAACCGACUUCAUUGCCAACAAUCGGAUUCCUGGCAUCGACUUUGCUACUGCUCACUCCUAUCCUGAUCAAUGGUAAUUAUCAAUUAUUGUAGGGGGGGAAAAACAAACGAACUAGAUAUGGGCCAACACUAGUAAAAUUAAUUGUUUGUCCUUUUUGCAUGAUCAGGCUAUCUAGCUCAAAUGACCAAAACCAACUCACUUUUAUGAACAAUUGGCUUGACACCCACAUUCAAGAUGCACAAUAUGUUCUUCGGAAGCCAUUACUCAUCACAGAAUUUGGAAAAUCUGGGAAAGAUUCUGGUUUCAGCCCCCAUCAGAGGGACCUUUUGUUCAACACCGUUUACUACAAAGUAUAUGCAUCGGCCAAGCGCGGUGGUGCAGCUGCUGGAGGACUGUUCUGGCAACUUUUAACUGAAGGCAUGGACUCAUUCCGAGAUGGGUACGAGAUAGUUUUGAGCGAGAGUCCCUCAACUGCAAACAUUAUUGCCCAACAGUGUCAUAAACUAUAUCAGAUUCGGAAAAUAUAUGCAAGAAUGGCCAACGUUGAGAGGUGGAAGAGGGCAAGGACUGCUAGGAGGGCGGAAUGGUUGGCUAGAAACAAGGGCAAGCGUAUCGGACACUAGUAAGGAAUCUCGAUGCAUCCAUCCUUGUUAUAUCAAGUGUCAAGUGUGUGUUUCAUUUUGUCCCAAAUCCUAUUGUAUGCUUGGAAUAUACUCUCUCUCUUUAGAGAUGAAUGCAAGUAGUUCGUCCAGGAGGGGAUAUACAUAUGGCCUAAUUGCUAGUGUUUAUGUAACCUCAACAAGCGGUAGUAAUACUACAACCUUCCACUGGUAUUCUCGAAGGUUUAUACACAAAAUAUAUAAGAAAUGGCUUCAUGAAGAGAAAAUAUUAAUAUAUUAUUAAUACAUACUAAUUACCUAAAUUCCUACUUAGUAGUAUUAGUGUACAAUGAAUAAAAUUAAGUUUAUUUUGUGCGUGUGUGAAUGUUUAUACAUUAAACCGUCACCUAUUAGUAUUUAAAUAAGUAUUAAUGUAUUUUUGUUCCUAUAUGAAUAUUUGUUGGAAAUUCAAGUUUAUAAAGCUUGUAUAUCCCCAGUUUAAGGACAAAUUAAGAAACAGAGAUAGAGUUUCCGGUGGUUGAUGAUCUCAUGUAAUGUGUACAUUGCAUAAUAUUUUUUUAGCUGUACCGAUAUUCCAGCAAACAGAAAGAUCGCGUAAAAGAUUUAGCUGUUACAGAUCUUCCAGCUGGUGUAGCAGUAAAACAAAAGAAGCGCAGCAUGUUCCUAUGAUGCUGUAUAUUAGAAAGUUCACUUCUCGUCCAUAACCCAGUACCUAAAUAUGUAUAAAGUAAAGCCUAAACUAAUUACAGACGCUCCAAACACUACACUGAAUUGAACCCACAAAUAGGAGAUAAAUGCCUCGAGCACAAUUGCCUCCCACAACCAAAACCACACCAAGGCGCCAACAACCACUUGGCUGACCGUAUGAAAUUGUUGGGAAACCCGUAACCAUGACUGCAAAACUAGCAACACAACAUGAGAAAUCUACAAUUCUGGGCGUUUUAAUUUUCCGACAAUAAAAAUCUAGAUUGAAAGUGCAACAAUAAUGAACCCAUAAGACAACUAAUCUAGUGGACAUGGAAUUGGUCAAUUAAAUUAACCAAUAAACUAGAUGUACAAGAACACAUUUGUUUUUCUAUGAUAAACUAGUUAGAAUUAACAAAUGAAAAUCUUAAUAUCUACUUUAUAUCCAAUCUAGCUUCCGGAGAUUACAUUUCAGGAAAGAUUAGGGUUCUUAUUGAUAGAAUGACUUGAUUCAUAUGCUAAUGUGAGUAUGUGACACAAGCUACUAUGCAAUCAAAACAAGUGUAAGAGUGUAUUGGAAUUUGUCAGUUAUCAAUUUUUUUUUUAAUUUUAAAUUUGUCCAGGUAUAUUUGCUCUACAUUAUUACUAGCUUUACCGUCCCCUAGCCGUUAAAAACUGAUUACAAAGUCUGGACGAUCAAAUUAACAAGUAAUUUUACAAGAAUAUGAACUCCUAUAAAUAACGGGGAAGUUAUUGGUGAAUUGGGUAUUUGUUACUAUUUUAUAGGAGUACCAAGGAAGUCCAUUAAAAGAGUUUAGAUGAUACUUACAAAAUAUGAACCUAGUGCCAAGAGAAACCCAGCAAGAGUUGUUGCAAGUCCAUUCACACCAAGCCAUUCCAUUACUGCAAUAGUAGCCAGUAAAAAGGAAUAUUGCAAAUUAGAAACAGUAAUCUGUUUAUUUAUUUAUUAUGUAAAGGGCAAUUCCAUGACUAUACAUGCUUAUGAAAAAUAUAUUGAUGUGGAGUUUCCAAAACUCCAAAUAAGAACUUUGGGCCCAAAGGGUACACAGUGCACAACCCGGAAGAGUUUUGGUUGUGGGGUGCCUCCGUAAAGAAUAAAAAAUAAAAACACUUCAUUAGAUACCAACAGAUAGGCCUGACAAGAUAUGGUUAUGAGUUGGUUUUGAUUUUAGUUUUCAAAAUAUGGUUAUGGUUCCAUUUAAGAACUAAAAUCAUAUUAACCAUUUUUAAUAUGGAUAAUGUGGGUUGGAAGUUAUGGUUAAAAACUAUAUUAACCAUUUUAAUAUUGUUAUGAGUUAUGGGUUAUGGUUUCAGUUCAUUUAAGAACUAAAAUUAUAUUAACUAUUUUUAAUAUGAAUAAUGUGGGUUGGAACCAUAUGGUUAUGGUUAAAAACCAUAUUAACCAUUUUAAUACUGUUAUGGGUUUCAUGAAGACUUGAUUUGNNNNNNNNNNNNNNNNNNNNNNNNNNNNNNNNNNNNNNNNNNNNNNNNNNNNNNNNNNNNNNNNNNNNNNNNNNNNNNNNNNNNNNNNNNNNNNNNNNNNCCACCUAUCCCACCCCCCCUCAAUUUUUGAUCAUUUUACGGAAGCAAGUACUGACUUGUUUUAUCAGUGGCAUGCUUAAAUCCUAGUGAUUGUUUCGCUCGUUUUGAUAAGGACAAAUUGAUUCAUCUCGCUAGCAUUUAUUCAAUGACUUUUUUCCAAUGGAUCUUAUGAAACUUCAUAGUCAACUAGAUAAUUACAUUUCUGAUAUGCGGACAAAUCAAGAGUUUUUGGAAGUUAAAGGGAUUAACUGUCUUGCAAGAAAGCUCGUAGGUACUAAGAAACAUAUUGUAUUUCCUUUAGUAUAUCGGCUUCUAAAGUUGGCAUUAAUCUUAUCUGUUGCGACUGCUACUGUUAAAAGAGCUUUUUCUACGAUAAAGAUAAUUAAGAGUAAUCAAGUUGAAAGACUUGAUUACAGUAGGAUAUGAAUAUUAAUAUCAAAUGUUUUGUUUAUUUUUAAAUUUAGAGGUGAGACUAUUAAUCUAUAAAUUAUAAAUGACUUAAUAAUCUUAAAAUUAUAAUUAUAAUUAUAAAUAUUUUUGAAAUUGGAUUCGUGAUGAAGAGGAGCUGGGCCUGAAUUUAUAUGUUUUAUAGAUGACUAUUAAACAUUUUGAAUCAAAAAUUUUGAUGUUGUAGCCUUGUAGCAUAUAUAUAUAUAUAUAUAUAUAUAUAUAUAUAUAUAUAUAUAUAUUAUAUAUAUAUAUAUAGUCCGUUUUUUCAGCGAACUAUAAGGAGUGAAUUAAGAAUGAAUCAGCUAUAGAGACGGGUUUUUUCGUCACUAUAGCAUAGAAAGUCGACGAAAAAAUCGAUCAUUAUAGUCGAUUCAGUUUUUUUAGUUCGCUGAAAGAAAUGGGAUUAUAUAUAUAUAUAGAUAUAUAUGCAAUAAUAAUAAUGGUGCACCUUAGGAAGGAGGGAGGGGAAACCGAGUCAAAAGUAAAGAAGGGUAGACAGACUGUAGGUGAUCAGCGGGAUAUAAUAUAACAUCACCUUAUUUUUCAGGACUAUGUCUCCUACCUCUGGGCCUAAACUACAAGUACAGAUUACCUAGAUGGUGGGGGCCCAAAUCGGCAUUGCAGCUGGCCACGUGAACGGAUCAGAUACUAUUUGAGUUUGGGACAAAGCGACGCUUACGGUUGGUUUAAAGGCUAUCCUUGUAAUAAAAUUAUUAAUUUCAAAAUUUUUAUUUAUUUUUAAAUUUAAAUUUAAAAUUAUUAAUUUAAAAAUUAUAAAAUAACUUAAUAUAAAAUUAUUUAAUAACUUAUUCAAUUAGGUAGGAUUAUAUUUUAACAUAACCUAUUAAAGUACGACUUAAAUAAUUUUUUAAUUAUUUUAUUUUAUGUCAACUUAUAAGUGAGUUACUCAACCGUUUUUUAUUACAGUCAACCUACUAUACUUUAUUUUUCUAACAAAAAAUUUUCUUCUAAAGUUGGCAUUAAUCUUACUGUUGCGACUGCUACUGUUGAAAGAGCUUUUUAUGCGAUAAAGAUAAUUAAGAGUAGGUUGCGCAAUUACAUGGCAGAUCAAAUGAUGAAUGAUUGCUUGAUUACAUACAUCGGAUUAUAUUAUGCAACGAUUUCAACGAAUGAAAACACACAGAGGGCAAUUGUAAUUAUUAUAUUCUACUAGUUAUUUUUUGUGGAUAAGUUUGAUGGUUACAACAAUGACAUAUUAUAUUUUUGUGGUUAUAUAUUUGAGUCGUUUUUUGUUACUAUAAUUAUCAAUUUUAAUUUAUUGUCUGAUACUCUAAUUAUUGACCCCACUACGAACCAAUGUUGGUUUCGCCACUGCACACACAUAUACACAGAGUAAAGGUCAAGGAAAAGAGAAAAAUAAAAUAAAAUUAGACAAAUCCUAAGCUGUAUAAAAAUAAUCGUAUCCUUGUCAUCCACGCGACUCUUAUCAUAGUUCAUCCAAAAGUUUACAUCAUUGGAGCAAAGACUAGCAAAUUUACAGCUUUAAAUUUAAAAAAUCCAUAAAUUUAAUAUAUGUAUCCAAUAUGGAAAAGAUACUAACCAGGUGAUUGAGAGUGGAUUCUAGUCCACCAGCUGCAAAAUUUGGGUGAAACGUCAAAAGAAACUUGUUGUUCAAGGGCUCCAAUCCCUUCAUCUCCAUUACUCUCUCUGCAUACAUCAGUUAUAAUGGACUCAGCCAUGGUGAUUAGACUCCUACCCCCUCUUUCCAAGGUCGUUAACUUUGAGUGCAAAAUGGAUUUGCGAGGUUUUAAUUCUGGAAAGCAAGUAAGGAUUGUGGUGGGUUUGUUUAAAG
This 6560-nucleotide long non-coding RNA is filed under the name Panax ginseng (ginseng). Its description in RNAcentral is "long non-coding RNA (PGIN_LNC016303)". Lineage: Eukaryota; Viridiplantae; Streptophyta; Magnoliopsida; Apiales; Araliaceae. The record is from RNAcentral.